RNAcentral lists this ribosomal RNA (237 nucleotides) under uncultured Bacillota bacterium. RNAcentral describes it as "uncultured Firmicutes bacterium partial 16S ribosomal RNA". It matches the Rfam family "Bacterial small subunit ribosomal RNA", at positions 796 to 1041 of the family's 1533-position model. The record is from RNAcentral. Lineage: Bacteria; Bacillati; Bacillota.
CACGCCGUAAACGUUGAGAACUAAGUGUUGGGGAGACCCAGUGCUGAAGCUAACGCAUUAAGUUCUCCGCCUGAGGAGUACGCACGCAAGUGUAAAACUUAAAGGAAUUGACGGGGGCCCGCACAAGCAGUGGAGCAUGUGGUUUAAUUCGAGGCUACGCGAAGAACCUUACCAGGGCUUGACAUCCCUUGAUCGCUGUAGAGAUACAGCUUCUCUUCGGAGCAAGGAGACAGGUGG